This 253-nucleotide ribosomal RNA is filed under the name uncultured bacterium. RNAcentral describes it as "partial 16S ribosomal RNA". It matches the Rfam family "Bacterial small subunit ribosomal RNA", at positions 524 to 776 of the family's 1533-position model. The record is from RNAcentral.
UACGUAGGGGGCAAGCGUUGUCCGGAAUCAUUGGGCGUAAAGAGCGUGUAGGCGGCCCGGUAAGUAGGGGGUGAAAUCCUGCGGCUUAACCGCAGGGCUGCCUUCUAAACUGUCAGGCUCGAGCACGGUAGAGGCAGAUGGAAUUCCCGGUGUAGCGGUGGAAUGCGUAGAGAUCGGGAAGAACAUCAGUGGCGAAGGCGGUCUGCUGGGCCGUUGCUGACGCUGAGGCGCGACAGCGUGGGGAGCAAACAGG